RNAcentral lists this ribosomal RNA (262 nucleotides) under uncultured Staphylococcus sp. RNAcentral's name for it is "partial 16S ribosomal RNA". It matches the Rfam family "Bacterial small subunit ribosomal RNA", at positions 99 to 354 of the family's 1533-position model. The record is from RNAcentral. Lineage: Bacteria; Bacillati; Bacillota; Bacilli; Caryophanales; Staphylococcaceae.
CGGACGGGUGAGUAACACGUGGAUAACCUACCUAUAAGACUGGGAUAACUUCGGGAAACCGGAGCUAAUACGGAUAAUAUAUUGAACCGCAUGGUUCAAUAGUGAAAGACGGUUUUGCUGUCACUUAUAGAUGGAUCCGCGCCGCAUUAGCUAGUUGGUAAGGUAACGGCUUACCAAGGCAACGAUGCGUAGCCGACCUGAGAGGGUGAUCGGCCACACUGGAACUGAGACACGGUCCAGACUCCUACGGGAGGCAGCAGAG